Molecule: ribosomal RNA, 394 nt
Filed under: uncultured soil bacterium
Lineage: Bacteria
Description: bacterial SSU rRNA
Rfam family: Bacterial small subunit ribosomal RNA
Source: RNAcentral
GUGCCUAACACAUGCAAGUCGAACGAGAAAGUGGAGCAAUCCGUGAGUACAGUGGCGACCGGGUGAGUAACACGUGACUAACCUACCCUCGAGUGGGGGAUAACUCCGGGAAACCGGGGCUAAUACCGCAUAACAUCGCGAGGUGAAAUUCCUUGUGAUCAAAGGAGCAAUUCGUUUGAGGAGGGAGUCGCGUCUGAUUAGCUAGUUGGUGAGGUAACGGCCCACCAAGGCAAUGAUCAGUAGCCGGCCUGAGAGGGCGCACGGCCACACUGGAACUGAAACACGGUCCAGACUCCUACGGGAGGCAGCAGUGGGGAAUUUUGCGCAAUGGGGGAAACCCUGACGCAGCAACGCCGCGUGGAGGAUGAAGUCCUUUGGGAUGUAAACUCCUUUC